Molecule: long non-coding RNA, 3247 nt
Organism: Oncorhynchus tshawytscha (Chinook salmon)
Lineage: Eukaryota; Metazoa; Chordata; Actinopteri; Salmoniformes; Salmonidae
Source: Ensembl
GUAAGCAUUUCGUUGGACAGCGUAUACCAUGUGUAUCCAGUAUAAGAUUCAUAACACUUGGAUUUUGACGUGUGUUUUAGAGUUGGUGUCUUGCUGGAAGAUCCACUUCAGGCUACAUUUUAGCCUCCUGCUAGGGGCAACCAGGUUUUUGGCUAAAAUGUCCUGUUACUUGGUAGAGUUCAUGAUGCCGUUGACUUUAACAAGGGACCCUGGACCAGUGGAAGAAAAAUAGCUCAUAACAUCAGAGCUACCACCAUAUUUGACAGUAGAGAUGGGGUUAUUUUCAGCUUGUGUCUUCUCAUUUCAAGACCAAAUCCACCAAAAAAAAAAUAAGAUUUCCCAAUUUUUUGGAGCAUACAAUAUAGCUCAGUAUUUGAAUAAUUUAUUUUACAGUCAUUUUUGCAUAUUUAUCAAGUGUCAAUAAUUUCAGACCCCACUGUAGUACCUUUACAGAGAAUCAUCGGAAUCUACAACAUUUCUAAGUCACAACAAAACAAAGCUCAAAAUGCCAUCAUAUUGAUCGUUCAUUCCGACUACUAUUGGAAGUCAUUUAAAUCAAUAAGGAGCUGAACAUAUAAAUUUUCCAACUGUAAACUAAUAUAGAAGAUUUCUCCAGAGACCCAAGUUCACACCAGGUUAAAAGUGACAUCCACACAAAUCGCCUCUGGGAUUCUAAAGUCCAUCACUAUACCAUAAUGUGUUGUUGAUCUUGUCUGCACUAUAUAGGAGAGACACCGAGAGAACUUAAUUAAAGCUUUGACAAGCCCAAUCUCUAAAAGUGAUGAGAUUAUUCUUAAUUGAUGUCACAGUGGAUUAAGGUUUGGACUGUUGCUGGCCCACUGGCAGGUCUAGCCCUGGUUCAGACUGUGGGAUAUUGGUGAAAAGCGUGGUUUGCCCCGCUCAAGCUGUUUCUGCUACAAAAGGAUAGAUUUUAGCGAACAGCCUAAUGACUCUGUUUGAAGUAUAAUGAACCCAUGACCCCGUCCCAUUGCUGUAACCUCUCCUAUCUGCCAACAUUGGGGCUGAGGGACAAUAAGACAAAAAUGUUGCCAUUCACUAGAGGGGUCUGUGGUGAAGUGUGGAGGCCGUUUGUAACCGCAUUGAGUCUAGGAAAAAAAUAUUUAUUUACAUGCAAACAAAGUUAAAAGCUAACAAGUUACCGAGACAUUUGCUUUUCACAAUGGAAGGGGGGUGCAAACAAAGUGCAGAUUAUUUUACUCAAUAGGACUUCAGGGUCUACUCAAUAGGACUUCAGGGUCUACUCAAUAGGACUCCAGGGUCUACUCAAUAGGACUCCAGGGUCUACUCAAUAGGACUCCAGGGUCUACUCAACAGGACUCCAGGGUCUACUCAACAGGACUCCAGGGACUCAACAGGGGUCUACUCAACAGGACUCCAGGGUCUACUCAACAGGACUCCAGGGUCUACUCAACAGGACUCCAGGGACUACUCAACAGGACUCCAGGGUCUACUCAACAGGACUCCAGGGUCUACUCAACAGGACUUCAGGGUCUACUCAACAGGACUUCAGGGUCUACUCAACAGGACUUCAGGGUCUACUCAGGACUUCAGGGUCUACUCAACAGGACUUCAGGGUCUACUCAACAGGACUUCAGGGUCUACUCAACAGGACUUCAGGGUCUACUCAACAGGACUUCAGGGUCUACUCAAUAGGACUUCAGGGUCUACUCAAUAGGACUUCAGGGUCUACUCAAUAGGACUUCAGGGUCUACUCAAUAGGACUUCAGGGUCUACUCAAUAGGACUUCAGGGUCUACUCAAUAGGACUUCAGGGUCUACUCAAUAGGACUUCAGGGUCUACCAGAGACUAAGGCCUUUAUUUUCAGCUGGCGUGAAGGCAUCAAAAGUUUCAAACGCAUUAUAGUUUGUAAUUUCUUCAUGUAAAAACUGUUGCACUAGCAUUUUCCAGGCCCAACGGCAGGUUAUGCAAUUUACCCGUGUUAUAUCAGCUCACUUGCGCUCAGAUGGGAGGAGUGGAAAUAUUUUAGGUGUGUCCUUAAAAACAUGAUCCAAAGUGCUAAUUUCAGGCAGCUUUGACAGGGAUAGUUAAGACCAAUCAAAAGCAGGUUUUAGCAGUAACAUACAGUGCCUUGCGAAAGUAUUCGGCCCCCUUGAACUUUGCGACCUUUUGCCACAUUUCAGGCUUCAAACAAAGAUAUCAAACUGUAUUUUUUUGUGAAGAAUCAACAACAAGUGGGACACAAUCAUGAAGUGGAACGACAUUUAUUGGAUAUUUCAAACUUUAACAAAUCAAAAACUUAAAAAUUGGGCGUGCAAAAUUAUUCAGCCCCUUUACUUUCAGUGCAGCAAACUCUCUCCAGAAGUUCAGUGAGGAUCUCUGAAUGAUCCAAUGUUGACCUAAAUGACUAAUGAUGAUAAAUACAAUCCACCUGUGUGUAAUCAAGUCUCCGUAUAAAUGCACCUGCACUGUGAUAGUCUCAGAGGUCCGUUAAAAGCGCAGAGAGCAUCAUGAAGAACAAGGAACACACCAGGCAGGUCCGAGAUACUGUUGUGAAGAAGUUUAAAGCCGGAUUUGGAUACAAAAAGAUUUCCCAAGCUUUAAACAUCCCAAGGAGCACUAUGCAAGCGAUAAUAUUGAAAUGGAAGGAGUAUCAGACCACUGCAAAUCUACCAAGACCUGGCCGUCCCUCUAAACUUUCAGCUCAUACAAGGAGAAGACUGAUCAGAGAUGCAGCCAAGAGGCCCAUGAUCACUCUGGAUGAACUGCAGAGAUCUACAGCUGAGGUGGGAGACUCUGUCCAUAGGACAACAAUCAGUCGUAUAUUGCACAAAUCUGGCCUUUAUGGAAGUGGCAAGAAGAAAGCCAUUUCUUAAAGAUAUCCAUAAAAAGUGUCGUUUAAAGUUUGCCACAAGCCACCUGGGAGACACACCAAACAUGUGGAAGAAGGUGCUCUCGUCAGAUGAAACCAAAAUUGAACUUUUUGGCAACAAUGCAAAACGUUAUGUUUGGCGUAAAAGCAACACAGCUCAUCACCCUAAACACACACCAUCCCCACUGUCAAACAUGGUGGUGGCAGCAUCAUGGUUUGGGCCUGCUUUUCUUCAGCAGGGACAGGGAAGAUGGUUAAAAUUGAUGGGAAGAUGGAUGGAGCCAAAUACAGGACCAUUCUGGAAGAAAACCUGAUGGAGUCUGCAAAAGACCUGAGACUGGGACGGAGAUUUGUCUUCCAACAAGACAAUGAUCCAAAACAUAAAGCAAAAUCUAC